Molecule: long non-coding RNA, 3152 nt
Organism: Papaver somniferum (opium poppy)
Lineage: Eukaryota; Viridiplantae; Streptophyta; Magnoliopsida; Ranunculales; Papaveraceae
Exons: 2
Source: RefSeq, a predicted model, not a curated record
CAUAUUUUGUUUUCUAGAAAUAACAACAAGUUUAGAGAGCUUUUUAGGGCUACGGUUUUGUAGAAACCCAAUAAUUAUAUUUUGAUUAUCGACUAAUCAAAGUACGAUUUAGAGUGUUUAUGUCUAGUUUUUGUUGACGUCAAUUUAGCUUAAUAACAUAUUAAGUUUGUACAAGCCAGAUGAGUUGCACUUAGAAUACUUUUCUUUUUUUGGCUGGAAAUGUGGUAGACUUUCUCUUCGACACCUACAGUCCAUGUCAUGCUUUUGUUUAGUAAUUCUUGUUAGGGGUAUUUUCGAAAUGAUUUGUGAUAAAACUCUUAAGGCUUAUCCAUCUGAGAAAUUUUGAUACUUGGUCAUUGUGAGAGAAUACCCAGAAAGAACCGACAAGAAACUCGGGUGAGGAGAAGAAGAAAAAUCCAACUUCGAGCGUCAAAAACUGUUACCCAAAAAUUCUAUGAGCCUAAGCAAUUGAAAGUGAUGUAUUUGGUAUUCUGAAGUUUGUCGAUCGAUAAAAAAUUUAAGAAUGAAAGAAAUGGAUUUCUUAUGUUCUUACUGAUUGAAGAUUGGAGGUGUCUUCGGAUUUGAUAGGCGGGCUACGGAGGUUAAGGUUUGAGUUGUGAGUUGAGGUAGGAACUUACAUUACUCUUUUGUAUCUAUUAAUGUCUUUUUACAAAAAUAUAUUUAUGCACUUAAACAAACUCAUGCAUUGUUGGAUUUUGAUUGCCUAAAACCCUGUUGAUUCUUUUGGCUUUUUCUUUACUUGGAAAGGACCUGAAAUGUUUGUUUGUCUGUAUGAGUAUUCUGGGAAAUAAGAAUUUCCAUCUGUGGUAUAUAUGAUACUGCUCCUUCAUUUAUAACUACUUUCUUUCGUGCUUUUAUGAUGUGGCUAGGGCGAUACACCGCAAUAUUACCUAUUAGGUGCUGGAAUUUGGCAUUGAAUAUUAUACAUUGUUUGAAUAAGGAGUUAGUUCCAUAUACGUUAUUGUUAUGUGUGCGUUGAUCUUCUUUUAAUAUUUGGAGUACUUGAUUGUUUAUUUCAGUGAGUCAUAUGUUUAUCAAUGUCUGGAAAUUUGCAUUGUUUGAGAUUCAGCUUUGAUGAUUACAUUUGAGAAGUGUAAGUGUCCAUUGGGCUUGUUUAGCUCACUCUUCCAUCUCCUUUUAGUGGCAGGAAGUUUUAAUGUGAUUGGUGUUGACUCGUCCGAAGGAGAGAUUAAUGUUUGGGUCGAUUAGAUUGUCUUAACUUGUGUCCUUGAGAGAUCGCUGCUGGUCUCGGUGGGGCUGUGCAGUUUAUGUAACUUUUUGAAGGUGCUUUUGAGUUUUAGUUGUAAGUAAGACUCUAACUUCUAAAUUAUAUAUAUUAUAUUUAUAUAUAAUGACAAACAACACACUUGUAAAUUAGGUAGUUGUGUAUAUUAUGAACCUUUAAUGUAUAGCUUAUGUUCUUAACUUGUCUUGAAGUUAAUGGUUCAAUUUAAGAUAGUCUAGCAUCUACGUAGUUCAGUUUCCUUUUGGUCAAGUUCUUGUAGCUUUCACUAUUGAAAAAAGUCUUGUUGUAUUGUCCUUUGAUCUAAGCUAAGAAUUUUGUGUUCUGAUCACUCUUGUGUAAUCAUUUUAAUAAACUUAGCUUAAGAUAGUUAUUAUAUUAGUACUGGAUUGAAUAUCCUAAUUUUUGUUCUUGGAAAAGGGGGCUUCAAUGUUGGUAUCAGAGCCAAUUAGUAGAUCGUAAAAGGGCGCUUCAUAAAAGCUAGAAUCUAAAAGACAUCAAGAAUAAAAAUCAUACUGAGUAUAUUAGUGGUUGUUGGCUGUUGUUUGUGAGUAGUGUGCUUAUAAUGUCUUGUAAAGUUUAGAUAUUAAGAUUUAUGCUUUUGUUGCGGUGACAAAGAAUGGAAGACAAUGCUGAAAGUCAGAGUUUGGAGGGUGGAUCUGGUCAGCAAAUUAAGAGUAGUAAUAUGGAUAUAUUUAUGAAGUCUAUGGCAUAUAUGAGACAAUACCAACUGUUAUUAGAAGAAAGGCUUCGAAUUUUACCUCCAAGACAUAACUCAGGGAGUACAAAUCAUACUUCAAACCAAGGGGAUAUGAUUAUGCCGACACGAAAUCAGAAUCAACUUGGACAGUUACUUCAGCAAUAUCUAAAGAUUGCUCCAUAGGAAGUGGCAGCCCUCCAGAUCCUGAGAAGGCGGAAGAACGGUUGCAAAAUGCAGAACAUGUUUUGGAACAUGUAUCCAAUGAUAGAGGUACUUGGGUGAAGUUGGUUAUUUACAGAUUUCGAGGACCAUCACGAGAUUGGUGGAAUGCGGUAAUGAAAGCGGAAGGUGGAACAAUGACUUGGAAUAGGUUUAAAGAUUUGUUUAUAGACAAGUAUGUACCUGAUGCAGCAAGAGAUAGGAAAUUUUAUGAGUUCAUGUCUUUAACGAAGGGUGGUAUGUCCGUUAGCGCUUACAGUGAUAAAUUUACAAGGUUGUCACGAUAUUGAGCAGAGUUGAUAGCCACUUAUGAAGCUAAAUCAAAUAAAUUUAUCAGAGGAUUGGAUCCCGAGAUGCGAAAACAACUUUCGUGUUUACGAAUCAAGACUUAUGAGGAUGUUUUGAAUCGGUCUCUUGAUUAUGAAAAAGAGAUGGAAGAUCAACUUGCAACACGGGUUACAGAAAGGCCGCAACAAUUUUCAGCAAGACAAGAUCUAGCGAAGCGGCCUAUGUUAUCAGCUCCUAAUCAGACAUUUUCAGACAACCAAUAAGACCAUGGUCAACUGGAUCAACAUCAGUACCACCUAUAACACAUCCACCUACGGUUAGACCUCAAGGAAGGUGGGUACGUUUCCAGCAAGUAUGUCCGGCCGCACCAACAAGUUCUAGUUUGGGUUCCUUCAAAUGUUAUGCCUGCGGUGAAGGGGGUCAUCUUAGGAGAGAUUUCCGAAAGAACCCAUCAGCAGAGUUAGCCCAACAAGGAGCGGUAUAUGCAAUGGAUCCAGUAGUAACUUCUAAUCAAGAAACAUCAGAAGAGAGUCAAGUGUUUUAAACAAUUGUAGAAGGGGAUGGUUCAGCGACUGAUCAAGUGGUUGAAAGUAAAAUUUAAUUAUUCAAUCAUCUAAUUCAUGUGUUGAUGGACAUUGGUUCUACUAAAUCAUUUAUUAAUCUAAGUAUAACAACUGAACU